GGGAAAGGAUGUGGAGUUGCUUAGACAACCAGGAGGUUGGCUUAGAAGCAGCCACCCUUGAAAGAGUGCGUAACAGCUCACUGGUCAAGUGAUUCUGCGCCGAUAAUGUAGCGGGGCUCAAGUACACCGCCGAAGUUGUGGCAAUGAUCUUUUUGGAUUGUUGGGUAGGGGAGCGUCGUGUGGCCGUUGAAGCUGCGGUGUAAACCAGUGGUGGAGGCUAUGCGAGUGAGAAUGCAGGCAUGAGUAGCGAAAGAUGAGUGAGAAACUCAUCCGCCGGAUGAUCAAGGGUUCCAGGGUCAAGUUAAUCUGCCCUGGGUUAGUCGGGGCCUAAGGCGAGGCCGACAGGCGUAGUCGAUGGAUAACGGGUUGAUAUUCCCGUACCGGUGAAGAACCGCCCAUACUGAUAUUGUGAUGCUAACCAUGCGAAGCAUGAUGUGCAGGCUUUUGUUUGUGUGUUGUGUGGGUUGUGGGACCCGAUCUUUGGAGGUAAACGUGUUAACAGGUGUGACGCAGGAAGGUAGCCAAGCCACGCGAUGGUUGUCGUGGUCUAAGCGUGUAGGGUUGUCGGUUGUUAAAUGCGCCGGCUGUGUGCCUGAGACGUGAUGGGACCCCGUUUUUGGGGGAUUUGGUGAUCCUAUGCUGCCGAGAAAAGCAUCGGCGUGAGGUUUUAGCCGCCCGUACCCUAAACCGACACAGGUGAUCAGGUAGAGAAUACUAAGGCGAUCGAGAGAAUCAUGGUUAAGGAACUCGGCAAAAUGCCCCCGUAACUUCGGGAGAAGGGGGACCUUGAGCGUGAUGGGCACUUGCUGUCUGGAGCGUGUAUGGGUCGCAGAGACCAGGGGGAAGCGACUGUUUAUCAAAAACACAGGUCCGUGCGAAGUCGUAAGACGAUGUAUACGGACUGACUCCUGCCCGGUGCUGGAAGGUUAAGAGGAUUGGUUAGCCUUUGUGGCGAAGCUGAGAAUUUAAGCCCCAGUAAACGGCGGUGGUAACUAUAACCAUCCUAAGGUAGCGAAAUUCCUUGUCGGGUAAGUUCCGACCUGCACGAAUGGAGUAACGACUUCCCUACUGUCUCAACCAUGAACUCGGCGAAAUUGCAGUACGAGUAAAGAUGCUCGUUUCGCGCAGCAGGACGGAAAGACCCCGUGACCUUUACUAUAGUUUGGUAUUGGUGUUUGGUUUGGCUUGUGUAGGAUAGGUGGGAGACUGUGAAGCAUGGACGCUAGUUUGUGUGGAGUCGUUGUUGAAAUACCACUCUGGUCAAUCUGGAUGUCUAACUUCGGGCCAUGAUCUGGUUCAGGGACAGUGCCUGAUGGGUAGUUUAACUGGGGCGGUUGCCUCCUAAAGUGUAACGGAGGCGCCCAAAGGUUCCCUCAGCCUGGUUGGCAAUCAGGUGUUGAGUGUAAGUGCACAAGGGAGCUUGACUGUGAGACUGGCAGGUCGAGCAGGGACGAAAGUCGGGACUAGUGAUCCGGCGGUACGUUGUGGAACGGCCGUCGCUCAACGGAUAAAAGGUACCUCGGGGAUAACAGGCUGAUCUUGCCCAAGAGUCCAUAUCGACGGCAUGGUUUGGCA
RNAcentral lists this ribosomal RNA (1575 nucleotides) under human oral metagenome. RNAcentral's name for it is "bacterial LSU rRNA". It matches the Rfam family "Bacterial large subunit ribosomal RNA", at positions 1065 to 2523 of the family's 2925-position model. The record is from RNAcentral.